This 493-nucleotide ribosomal RNA is filed under the name uncultured bacterium. Its description in RNAcentral is "partial 16S ribosomal RNA". It matches the Rfam family "Bacterial small subunit ribosomal RNA", at positions 28 to 507 of the family's 1533-position model. The record is from RNAcentral.
GACGAACGCUGGCGGCGCGCUUAACACAUGCAAGUCGAACGGAAAGGCCUGCUUUCCCUUGUGGAUUGCGGGUACUCGAGUGGCGAACGGGUGAGUAACACGUGAGUGAUCUGCCCCCAACUUGGGUAUAAGCCUGGGAAACUGGGUCUAAUUCCCGAUAGGACUGCAGGGUGGUGCCUGUGGUGGAAAACGUUUUUCUAGUGGUUGGGAUGGGCUCGCGGACUAUUAGCGUGUUGGUGGGGUAAUGGCCUACCAAGGCGGCGACGGGUAGCCGGCCUGAGAGGGUGGACGGCCACAUUGGGACUGGGAUACGGCCCAGACGCCUACGGGAGGUAGCAGUUGGGAAUAUUGCGCAGUGAGCGGAAGGCUGCUGCAGCGACGGCGCGUGGGGGAUGACGGGCUUCGGGUUGUAUGCUCCUUUCGAACGCGAGGAAGCCACCUGGUUGGAAGGGUGGUGACGGUAGUGGUAGAAGAAGCACCGGCUAACUACGUG